GACGAACGCUGGCGGCGUGCCUAAUACAUGCAAGUAGAACGCUGAAGGAGGAGCUUGCUUCUCUGGAUGAGUUGCGAACGGGUGAGUAACGCGUAGGGAACCUGCCUGGUAGCGGGGGAUAACUAUUGGAAACGAUAGCUAAUACCGCAUAAUAGCAGUUGUUGCAUGACAACUGUUUGAAAGGUGCAAUUGCACCACUACCAGAUGGGCCUGCGUUGUAUUAGCUAGUUGGUGGGGUAACGGCUCACCAAGGCGACGAUACAUAGCCGACCUGAGAGGGUGAUCGGCCACACUGGGACUGAGACACGGCCCAGACUCCUACGGGAGGCAGCAGUAGGGAAUCUUCGGCAAUGGACGGAAGUCUGACCGAGCAACGCCGCGUGAGUGAAGAAGGUUUUCGGAUCGUAAAGCUCUGUUGUAAGAGAAGAACGAGUGUGAGAGUGGAAAGUUCACACUGUGACGGUAUCUUACCAGAAAGAGACGGCUAACUACGUG
Molecule: ribosomal RNA, 495 nt
Filed under: uncultured bacterium
Lineage: Bacteria
Description: partial 16S ribosomal RNA
Rfam family: Bacterial small subunit ribosomal RNA
Source: RNAcentral